Molecule: ribosomal RNA, 253 nt
Filed under: uncultured bacterium
Lineage: Bacteria
Description: partial 16S ribosomal RNA
Rfam family: Bacterial small subunit ribosomal RNA
Source: RNAcentral
UACGAAGGGGGCUAGCGUUGCUCGGAAUUACUGGGCGUAAAGGGCGCGUAGGCGGGUCGUUAAGUUGGGGGUGAAAGCCCAGGGCUCAACCCUGGAAUUGCCUUCAAUACUGGCGACCUUGAGUAUGGCAGAGGUGUGUGGAACUCCGAGUGUAGAGGUGAAAUUCGUAGAUAUUCGGAAGAACACCAGUGGCGAAGGCGGCUCACUGGACCGGUAUUGACGCUGAGGUGCGAAAGCGUGGGGAGCAAACAGG